This is a long non-coding RNA of Felis catus (domestic cat), 867 nucleotides long. RefSeq lists it as uncharacterized. NCBI's taxonomy places the organism in Eukaryota, Metazoa, Chordata, Mammalia, Carnivora, Felidae. The transcript is spliced from 3 exons. The record is from RefSeq and is a predicted model, not a curated record.
UUCUGAAACAACCACAGCUGGGUCGCACUGGGUAGCACUGUGUAGUCUUUAAGCCUCGAGGGGGCGCUCUAAACUUCAGCUCCAAGAACGAGGCAAGGGCCAUCUAGCCAGGUCUUGCCUUUUGGGUAUAAACAAACACAGGAGAUUUUUGGAGAGAACACGGAAGACUGCUUCUCCAUCUGGUGGCUCAGCUGGCCACCGCUUAAUUCCACUGUGCCCACGGGGGCUGUGCAGAGGGCCACGAGAAAUGUCCAAAGGGCACCUAGCCCUGACGUGGAGGGCAACGGAAGACCAAAGGAUGUGUAGGAGUCAGCUAUGCAACUGUCACAGAUGGCUAUUCCAGCCAGAACGACACGUGCUGAGGCUUGAGAUAUCCAAACACCUAAGAAGUGAGCCCAAGAGAUGAUUGAAACUUUUGAUCCGGGAAAUAACUCACACAUUUGUUUUGCUUUGCUCUAAUCUUCAGAGGUGUGUAUCAUGUUGCCAAGUCCCAGGUUUUUAAAAAACAGAUUUUUCCUUUGGGCUUCCCCCCUCCCACCUUGCAUCGCGGUAAUAUUUUCUCCUAUCUCUCAUCUUCUAAAAAAAAGUAGGUGUAACAGUCCAAUCAGCCUUUACCAACUUUUCUGCAAGAACAAGGCAGAAAAUACGAAGAUAUACAUCAAGAAUUGUUAUUAUUGUUUAUGUAGUAGUGAUAUAUGACUCCCCUGGGCUUUGUGUUUUACAUGGCCACUUUGAAAACACAGGAUGCUGUUCAGGCACAAGCGAUUUGUUUCUGAGUCCUGUGCUUGGAUAUUUCUAAUAAAUAUAUUCUGCCUCUGAUUUUAUGAUAUCAACAAGAUACCCAUGCAAUAAAAUAUUUUCAGAUUC